AACGAACGCUGACGGUGUGCCUCAUACAUGCAAGUCGAGCGGGCUCAGCAAUGGGUCAGCGGCGGACGGGUGAGUAACACGUGAACAAUCUGCCCUCGAAUUUGGGAUAACAGCUCCAACGAGUUGCUAAUACCGGAUAGGUUAAUUUGGCCUCCUGGUCGAAUUAAGAAAGGUCCAAUUGGAUCGUUCGAGGAUGAGUUCGCGGCCCAUUAGCUAGUUGGCGGGGUAAUGGCCCACCAAGGCGACGAUGGGUAGCCGGCCUGAGAGGGUGAUCGGCCACAUUGGGACUGAGAUACGGCCCAGACUCCUACGGGAGGCAGCAGUAGGGAAUUUUGCGCAAUGGACGAAAGUCUGACGCAGCAACACCGUGUGAGGGAUGAAGCAUUUCGGUGUGUAAACCUCUGUCGAUGAUGAAUAAAGCAUGUGGGAGUGGAAAGCCCAUGUGUUGAAGGUAAUCAUGAAGGAAGCACCGGCUAACUACG
This 482-nucleotide ribosomal RNA is filed under the name uncultured bacterium. Its description in RNAcentral is "bacterial SSU rRNA". It matches the Rfam family "Bacterial small subunit ribosomal RNA", at positions 29 to 505 of the family's 1533-position model. The record is from RNAcentral.